Molecule: ribosomal RNA, 844 nt
Filed under: uncultured bacterium
Lineage: Bacteria
Description: bacterial SSU rRNA
Rfam family: Bacterial small subunit ribosomal RNA
Source: RNAcentral
UNUGGCUCAACUGGGGGCGUGCGGUGGGUACGGGCUGGCUUGAGUGCGGUAGGGGAGGCUGGAACUCCUGGUGUAGCGGUGGAAUGCGCAGAUACCAGGAAGAACACCGGUGGCGAAGGCGGGUCUCUGGGCCGUUACUGACGCUGAGGAGCGAAAGCGUGGGGAGCGAACAGGAUUAGAUACCCUGGUAGUCCACGCUGUAAACGUUGGGCACUAGGUGUGGGGGCCACCCGUGGUUCCCGCGCCGUAGCUAACGCUUUAAGUGCCCCGCCUGGGGAGUACGGCCGCAAGGCUAAAACUCAAAGGAAUUGACGGGGGCCCGCACAAGCGGCGGAGCAUGCGGAUUAAUUCGAUGCAACGCGAAGAACCUUACCAAGGCUUGACAUGCGCCCCGGGCGCGCGGAGACGCGCGCGCAUUUGGUUGGGGGUGUGCAGGUGGUGCAUGGUUGUCGUCAGCUCGUGUCGUGAGAUGUUGGGUUAAGUCCCGCAACGAGCGCAACCCUUGCCCUAUGUUGCCAGCGCGUUGUGGCGGGGACUCGUGGGGGACUGCCGGGGUUAACUCGGAGGAAGGUGGGGAUGACGUCAAAUCAUCAUGCCCCUUAUGUCUUGGGCUUCACGCAUGCUACAAUGGCCGGUACAGAGGGUUGCGAUGCCGUGAGGCGGGGCGAAUCCCUUAAAGCCGGUCUCAGUUCGGAUUGGGGUCUGCAACUCGACCCCAUGAAGGUGGAGUCGCUAGUAAUCGCAGAUCAGCAACGCUGCGGUGAAUACGUUCUCGGGCCUUGUACACACCGCCCGUCACGUCACGAAAGUUGGUAACGCCCGAAGCCCAUGGCCCAACCGGCUC